UUUAAGUUGUGUCCAUACUGCCCUUGGGUAUCUAAGGGCUAUACCUCAUUAUGCAAAAUCACUGCUUAUGCAUUCACUCCAGCACUUGUCUAACUAAUCUGCACUCAUAACACCUUCCGUCGAAGAUGCAGCAUCCCUCUUCAGAGGCUGCAGAUCAAAAACAAUAGUAGCUGGUGUCAUAGCAAGACAAAACAUAGCCUCCUGUGUAUUACUGUUGUGAUACAGGCCUAAUCCAAGACUGCUUGGAGCUGCUAAAAUAUCAUAAAAAAAUGUCCUAUCAGAAGAGAUUUUGUAUCCUAUGCAAGAUAAAAAGCAUCUAUUUUUAAUGCUGAGACUUCUGCUUUUCUUCGUCAAGAGGAUUCUGAGCAUUUUGGUCUCUCAGGCCCAUCCCUGGCAAUGUGAUGAGCAUCCUCAGCCUCCUCUGAAGCUCCCCGUGAUCUCCUAUCAGGUUUAUCUUGUGCACCAGGCACGGCCCAACUGUCUGAUGGAGCUGCCAGGCCUUCCAAACCGCUCUGGCCUGUUGUGUCAAGGUUGACUGGGGACCCUUUAACAGCACAUCACUGAUACAAUCCAUCACAUUAACAGCUUGCUGGGGGAUGCUUUAAUUCACAGAUUAUUAACACAAUAGACCAUAAUGUCUGGUCCCAUUAUGGCUGUGUCACAGAGCAUCCUCG
This 674-nucleotide long non-coding RNA is filed under the name Gallus gallus (chicken). Its description in RNAcentral is "long non-coding RNA NONGGAT003401". The record is from RNAcentral. Lineage: Eukaryota; Metazoa; Chordata; Aves; Galliformes; Phasianidae.